AGGCAGUCAAAUAUCGCUCAGACAUCCAAGGAAGGUAUUUGGGCCAUCUUUGGUCUUUCAACCUCUGGUGGAAACUACGAAUGGCAGGAAUCAUCUACAUCACAGCGAAGCUGCACUUCAUGCGGUCAUCACUGGAAUAACUGAACUCACCCCAAUAAUCGUUCCAUCACAUCAGGAGUGACAUCUCCAUUUCUCGAUGAAACAGUUGAGCACUCAGAACUGAACGAAAAAGAGAAUACAACAGGGAAAAAUAAGCACAAGUUUCUCCAUUGGUGAAGCAUAUUAUGUAGGCAGUCAAAUAUCGCUCAGACAUCCAAGGAAGGUAUUUGGGCCAUCUUUGGUCUUUCAACCUCUGGUGGAAACUACGAAUGGCAGGAAAUCAUCUUCAUCACAGCGAGGCAUACAAGUAGACCCACUCGAAUUAUAAAUACACACCUCACAGAUUAAGAUCUGAUGGCCAUUGGACUCCAUCUGGUUGCCAUGGAGCCGACUCAACAUGGCAUGUCUUUCCAGGUGGUACUUUGUUUAUGCGGUGAUGACAACCCGCAAAACCGAUGCACUGUGGAGAAAGAAACAUGAUGAAACUUCUCAAAGGAAAAGAUGUCCGACUAGCAGCAGAAUUUCGCUCAGACAUCCAAGGAAGGUAUUUGGGCCAUCUUUGGUCUUUCAACCUCUGGUGGAAACUACGAAUGGCAGGAAUCAUCUACAUCACAGCGAAGCUGCACUUCAUGCGGUCACCACUGGAAUAAUUAAACUCACCCCAAUGAUUGUUCCAUCACAUCAGGAGUGACAUCUCCAUUUCUAGAUGAAACAGUUGAGCACUCAGAACCAAACCUGAACGAAAAAGAGAAUACAACAGGGAAAAAUAAGCAAAGUUUCUCCAUUGGCGAAGCAU
Molecule: long non-coding RNA, 895 nt
Organism: Clupea harengus (Atlantic herring)
Lineage: Eukaryota; Metazoa; Chordata; Actinopteri; Clupeiformes; Clupeidae
Source: Ensembl